CUAGUGGCGAACGGGUGAGUAACACGUGGGUAACCUGCCCAUCAGAGGGGGAUAACAUCCGGAAACGGAUGCUAAAACCGCAUAGGUCUUCGAACCGCAUGGUUUGAAGAGGAAAAGAGGCGCAAGCUUCUGCUGAUGGAUGGACCCGCGGUGCAUUAGCUAGUUGGUGAGGUAACGGCUCACCAAGGCCGUGAUGCAUAGCCGACCUGAGAGGGUGAUCGGCCACAUUGGGACUGAGACACGGCCCAAACUCCUACGGGAGGCAGCAGUAGGGAAUCUUCCGCAAUGGACGCAAGUCUGACGGAGCAACGCCGCGUGAGUGAAGAAGGUUUUCGGAUCGUAAAACUCUGUUGUUAGAGAAGAACAAGUGCUAGAGUAACUGUUAGCGCCUUGACGGUAUCUAACCAGAAAGCCACGGCUAACUACGUGCCAGCAGCCGCGGUAAUACGUAGGUGGCAAGCGUUGUCCGGAUUUAUUGGGCGUAAAGCGAGCGCAGGCGGUUCCUUAAGUCUGAUGUGAAAGCCCCCGGCUCAACCGGGGAGGGUCAUUGGAAACUGGGGAACUUGAGUGCAGAAGAGGAGAGUGGAAUUCCAUGUGUAGCGGUGAAAUGCGUAGAUAUAUGGAGGAAC
Molecule: ribosomal RNA, 629 nt
Filed under: uncultured Bacilli bacterium
Lineage: Bacteria; Bacillati; Bacillota; Bacilli
Description: bacterial SSU rRNA
Rfam family: Bacterial small subunit ribosomal RNA
Source: RNAcentral